Molecule: ribosomal RNA, 254 nt
Filed under: uncultured bacterium
Lineage: Bacteria
Description: partial 16S ribosomal RNA
Rfam family: Bacterial small subunit ribosomal RNA
Source: RNAcentral
UACGGAGGGUGCGAGCGUUGUCCGGAUUUAUUGGGCGUAAAGAGCUCGUAGGCGGUUCCGUAAGUCGGAUGUGAAAACUCGGGGCUCAACCCCGAGACGCCAUCCGAUACUGCGGUGACUUGAGUCUGGUAGGGGAACACGGAAUUCCUGGUGUAGCGGUGAAAUGCGCAGAUAUCAGGAGGAACACCAGCGGCAAAGGCGGCUUUCUGGUCCGAUUCUGACGCUGAGGCGCGAAAGCGUGGGGAGCGAUCCGG